This 405-nucleotide ribosomal RNA is filed under the name uncultured Sphingomonas sp. RNAcentral describes it as "bacterial SSU rRNA". It matches the Rfam family "Bacterial small subunit ribosomal RNA", at positions 354 to 776 of the family's 1533-position model. Lineage: Bacteria; Pseudomonadati; Pseudomonadota; Alphaproteobacteria; Sphingomonadales; Sphingomonadaceae. The record is from RNAcentral.
GUGGGGAAUAUUGGACAAUGGGCGCAAGCCUGAUCCAGCAAUGCCGCGUGAGUGAUGAAGGCCUUAGGGUUGUAAAGCUCUUUUACCCGGGAUGAUAAUGACAGUACCGGGAGAAUAAGCCCCGGCUAACUCCGUGCCAGCAGCCGCGGUAAUACGGAGGGGGCUAGCGUUGUUCGGAAUUACUGGGCGUAAAGCGCACGUAGGCGGCUUUGUAAGUUAGAGGUGAAAGCCCGGGGCUCAACUCCGGAAUUGCCUUUAAGACUGCAUCGCUAGAAUUGUGGAGAGGUAAGUGGAAUUCCGAGUGUAGAGGUGAAAUUCGUAGAUAUUCGGAAGAACACCAGUGGCGAAGGCGACUUACUGGACACAUAUUGACGCUGAGGUGCGAAAGCGUGGGGAGCAAACAGG